This 465-nucleotide ribosomal RNA is filed under the name uncultured bacterium. RNAcentral's name for it is "partial 16S ribosomal RNA". It matches the Rfam family "Bacterial small subunit ribosomal RNA", at positions 28 to 507 of the family's 1533-position model. The record is from RNAcentral.
GACGAACGCUGGCGGCGUGCUUAACACAUGCAAGUCGAACGGAGAGGCCCCUUUGGGGGUACUCGAGUGGCGAACGGGUGAGUAACACGUGAGUAACCUGCCCUUGACUUCGGGAUAACUUCAGGAAACUGGGGCUAAUACCGGAUAGGAAUCCUUGCUGCAUGGUAGGGGUUGGAAAGCUUCGGCGGUUUUGGAUGGACUCGCGGCUUAUCAGCUUGUUGGUGGGGUAGUGGCUUACCAAGGCUUUGACGGGUAGCCGGCCUGAGAGGGCGACCGGCCACAUUGGGACUGAGAUACGGCCCAGACUCCUACGGGAGGCAGCAGUGGGGAAUAUUGCACAAUGGGCGGAAGCCUGAUGCAGCAACGCCGCGUGCGGGAUGACGGCCUUCGGGUUGUAAACCGCUUUCAGCAGGGGCGAAGCUUGUGGUGACGGUACCUGCAGAAGAAGCACCGGCUAACUACGUG